RNAcentral lists this unclassified non-coding RNA (353 nucleotides) under Hevea brasiliensis (rubber tree). The record is from RNAcentral. Lineage: Eukaryota; Viridiplantae; Streptophyta; Magnoliopsida; Malpighiales; Euphorbiaceae.
GACAAGAACUGCAGAUGGAGAUGAGGGUGGGAAGCAUCAGUUGAUCACAGCAACUGUGAGUGAUGGAAAGCUUUACAUCUGCAAGGCACAAGCAGGAGACAAGAGGUGGUUUAAAGGAGCAAGGAAGUUUGUGGAGGGUGCAGCUAGUUCUUUCAGUGUUGCUUAAAAAGAAAGAGAGAGCGAUGUUGUUUGAUUAGUAAUGAGGUGUUUGUUGUAUAUUUUGGAGAACAUUACCUUAACCAAUGAAAGGGAUUGUCAAUGUUUGUGUUGAGAUGUUGUUAAUGGCCUUUAUUCUUUUGGUUCUCCAUAAAGUUGUUUUUAAGGGUUGGGUGAAUGAAGCUUUUAGAAGGAAG